AGCGAACGCUGGCGGCAGGCCUAACACAUGCAAGUCGAACGGCAGCACAGUAAGAGCUUGCUCUUACGGGUGGCGAGUGGCGGACGGGUGAGGAAUACAUCGGAAUCUACUUUUUCGUGGGGGAUAACGUAGGGAAACUUACGCUAAUACCGCAUCCGACCUACGGGUGAAAGCAGGGGAUCUUCGGACCUUGCGCGAUUGAAUGAGCCGAUGUCGGAUUAGCUAGUUGACGGGGUAAAGGCCCAACAAGGCGACGAUCCGUAGCUGGUCUGAGAGGAUGAUCAGCCGCAUUGGAACUGGGACAGGGUCCAGACUCCUACGGGAGGCAGCAGUGGGGAAUAUUGGACAGUGGGCGCAAGCCUGAUCCAGCCAUACCGCGUGGGUGAAGAAGGCCUUCGGGUUGUAAAGCCCUUUUGUUGGGAAAGAAAAGCAGCAGGUUAAUACCCCGCUGUUCUGACGGUACCCAAAGAAUAAGCACCGGCUAACUUCGUG
Molecule: ribosomal RNA, 492 nt
Filed under: uncultured bacterium
Lineage: Bacteria
Description: partial 16S ribosomal RNA
Rfam family: Bacterial small subunit ribosomal RNA
Source: RNAcentral